Molecule: unclassified non-coding RNA, 182 nt
Filed under: uncultured Ascomycota
Lineage: Eukaryota; Fungi; Ascomycota
Also listed under: 1 other name
Description: sequence contains ITS1
Source: RNAcentral
CUGGGUUUCGGACCUCGCGUCCACUCACCCGCCCUUUGUCAUAUAACAUCCACAUCAUUUCGGCCCCUGGCUCUCGGGCGCCCUCCCUAUUAACUUAGUGAGGUACCGCCUGUUGGCCGCGGGUCGGCAUUGCAAACCCACGCGGAUUUCUGAAGUCUGAUACAAUUUUUUAAACGAAAUUA